Molecule: long non-coding RNA, 625 nt
Organism: Pogoniulus pusillus (Red-fronted tinkerbird)
Lineage: Eukaryota; Metazoa; Chordata; Aves; Piciformes; Lybiidae
Exons: 2
Source: RefSeq, a predicted model, not a curated record
CUCCCCUUUAUAAUCGGCCCCAGGAGAGGCAGAAGCCCUAAGCUUGCCCAUUUGGGCAGAGGGAUCCUCCUCUCAUCGUCACUGGCAUGUAAUGCUCCUCAGAAGAUGAUUUUAUCCUGGUGCCAUUGGUCACACCUUAAGGUUGCCACAAAGCCCUCCUCUGUAAUGAGAACGUGACUCCUAGUAUUUUUCUCCCUUUAUGGUCUGCACAUCAUGGAAACAUCCUGUGGAUUUAUUGUGCUUUGAGACCACCUGAGAAGCUGGGCUUGGGAAACACAGCCAAACUCACAACUCCCCAGUGUGCUGGAUUUGACGUUGAAGCUACAGCGUGCACACUGACCUAUGUCAUCUUCUGCUUCUGUGCCCAUUCUGGCCUCACAUCCUCACUUCCUGCUGCUUUUAGAGUUGUGGUUGAAAGUACAGCCCUAGCUAUGAAGUGCAGAGGCAAGAAAGGCACUUUGUACUAAACACUUAUUUUUUAGGCACCAUAUUACCCCCUAUUUAGCCAUGUAUGACCAUAAGUUACCUAAAGGAAAACAUAGUCAAGGUAGUAAAGUAGUUAGCAACCCUCUUUUCUCCCUAAAUUAGUUAUCAGCCUGGUUUUCAGUUUUCACUCAAAGCUAUA